This 189-nucleotide microRNA precursor is filed under the name Oryza brachyantha (malo sina). RNAcentral describes it as "MIR812 microRNA precursor family". It matches the Rfam family "MIR812 microRNA precursor family". The record is from Rfam by way of RNAcentral. Lineage: Eukaryota; Viridiplantae; Streptophyta; Magnoliopsida; Poales; Poaceae.
AAAGAGUGUAUUUUUGCACUGUUUGUGUAUAAUGUUUGACUAUCCGUCUUAUUUAAAAAGUUUUAUGAUUAGUACUUUCAUUGUUAUUAGAUGAUAUAUGUAUAGUACUUUAUGUGUGAUAUUUUAAAAAAAAAUUCAAAUAAGACAAACGAUCAAAUGCUAGACAAGAAAAUCACAAAUGCAAUUAUA